RNAcentral lists this long non-coding RNA (6718 nucleotides) under Sus scrofa (pig). RNAcentral describes it as "lncRNA (ENSSSCG00040054940.1)". Lineage: Eukaryota; Metazoa; Chordata; Mammalia; Artiodactyla; Suidae. The record is from RNAcentral.
GAAUGGGGAUUGCCCAGGAGAACCUCCGGCAGCACAUCCUACAACAGGUGCUCCAGCUGAAGGUGCGAGAAGAAGUCAGAAACCUACAGUUACUCACACAAGCCUCAACCGAGGGUUCUCCAUAAACAUGGUUAGCCUUCCAAGCUGCUGUCCUGCCAGUCGAUAUGAACAUGGCCUGUUCCUCACAGAAAGACGAACUCUUGAUGCUGCCAGAAGAUAUCCUUGGAGCAUUGACAGAUUAACUGGAUUAACUGGAAAAAAAAAAAAAAUUCGGUCAAGAUCAUGGGCUUUGGAAAGUCUUAGUUUGCUAUGGAUUUUUAAAUGAGGUGCAUAAUAUACAGUGCCAACUUGUUCCAAGUGGUCAUUGGCAGACCAUUAGCUGGAAAAUAGCUUCCAGUUUUCAUCACUGUGCAUAACUCAAGCUCCCUCGGGGAGCUGUCUGUGCCCUUCACUAGAAGUCCUGUUUUAGCAUGGCAACUACUGGAUUAUUUUAUUAUGUGUGCAGAUGGCAUGAUGUGUUAGAAAAAAAAAAUUACAGCAGUUCUGCAGUCUCAGUGGAAGUGUUCACAAUAUUAGGCCCUGGUAGAGCCAUUCCUCAUGAUACUGGAUUCUGGGAAGCCCCAAUUCUAUGACUGGUCCUGGGGACACAGAAUUGGGCCUGAGGAAUUCAAAUGAACUACUGCCAGGUGCUGAGACAUUGUAGCUGGGAAUGAACUGGUUUAGCUUGGAGUGCUCUGAGAACUACUGGUAACACCCUUAGAAAAUUGGACAUGCUUUAUGGGGCAGAUGUUCAUGAUAUGAUGAUGGUGGUUCAUCCUUACUUUGGCAUUUGCAAAAUAUGUUCUGAACAUGAGUAGAGUUUUAUAGCUUUUUUCGAGUCACAAAUGUGCUGGACAAUGAUUAAAAGAUGAUGGCUGAAGAUGGAGAUGGGAGAAGGCAAAGAUGGAAACAAUGAAAGAGCCCCAUUGAAGAUGGUGUCUCUAAAAAUGCCUUAAUUCCUGGCACAUACCACAUAUUUGCAUGUGAGCUACUACUGUUUUCCAAACUGUCAACCUCGGUUUGAAAUCAUUUGGGGGCAUAGUUUUGGAAACGUGGUGGCCUAUAAUCUGAGCAGUUACAAGCUAAACCAGCAAAAUAGAGAAAUGAUUUCCUUCACAGCCUUGGGAUUCUUUGUUAUGCAUUGAUCCACAGUUACCCAUGGUUACUUCCUGCUGUGCUGUACCUUCUUCCCAAGAUAUAUGUAGGACGUUUUACCUCCUAGAAGUGCAGAGAUGGCUGUGGUGAGUUUUGUUUAAUGGGAAGCAGGAGACAGGAAGGUAGGGGAUAAAUAUUUUGACGACUAAGGGCUGUAAACUGUGGAUGCUGAACUUUUCCUUAAACCCAGGCUGCCCCUUUUUAUUUAAAGGCGCCCCCCCCCCCACACACACACACAUGCUUGUUCAGGAAAGGCACUCUUGGGAGUGAGCCAAAAUGAAUAAUUAUCAGACUCUUGAGGGGUACCCAGGGGAUAAAUUGUUCCAGCUCCAGAGCUGAAUUUAAAUAUGCAAAGCAUCAGUGGUCCUGCCUCAGUAAAAAGCAAAUCCCUUCAGUAGAUUAAGCCUACCUAGGGGGGCAAGAGACCCUAUCAGCUUUCUUGUGGGCGUGGCUCAUCUUCAAGUCUCUGCGCAGCCUCUGUGAGGUGUGUAACCGCCCCGUGGACUUCUACCUCCAGAAUACAGGGAAAUAUCCCCGGGUUCCCUCCGGAGUCCCUUCUCAGUUGCUCGGACAGUGGCUAAUAGUCCUUAGAUCUGAGGGACUCCUUCCUGGUUUUUAACCUUCAAGGGGAAAAGGGACAUCAACCUUACGUGAGAAUAUAAUGGAAGCAUUAAAACUUCUAAUGGGCGUACCCCCUUGUUCCUUGCAAAUGUUUUCUUUGUCUGCAAAUGUCACAUAAUCGAUUUUGGCGCGGAACAAUGGAAGUCUCACAAAGGAAAAGUUUUCAAGACCCCCUUAGCACUUUCAUUUUGCCAAAACCUCCUCUUUCAGUGCUUCAGCGGCUUCAUUCUUUGUACUGUUUUCCUCUCCAUUCAAGUAAUUUUGUUACUUGACAACUAGACUUAAAGCUGCCAUGGUCUCUUUUUUAAAAGUCUAAUCUUUGAAAAUGACAUCAAUUCCUUUAUGCCUUAAAGGCAGUUUUAUUCACCUCUUCCACAACCCUCUCCACUUCACUUUCUUGCUUUGUUUUGUGAGGUGUGUUUUUUUUUUUCCUCUUAAUCUCUUUCUUUUCAUAACAUAGUUCCUUGGGCAGAUUUCAAGUAUUCCGCAAAGAACCCAAACAGAAAAAUAUAGUCGUCCCCUUUCUUACCAGUUCUGACUAAUAAGUCCUUGUUGAGCUUGAUCUGGGUGAAAGCUUGGUGCCCAGACCACACUGGGCAGGAAUUCUCAUCGUCUGGAGAGUGGCCGGUCACUGCAGUAAUCAAAACAAGACCCGCGACUCACGAGGAAGGACAGACGGCCUGGGAGAUGCAGCUGCUUGGGCACAGCUGGGGACUGUGUUUCAAAGACUAGCGGGUCCUGUCCCUUUGUCUCUUUAGAUGUGCAUCUAAUCCUGUAGCCAGAGAACUGUCUUAAGAAUUCUGCUUUAUCAAUGUGAGUGAUCCCUGGCUCCGCUGCACAGCUUCAAGGUCAGAGAGGGCUGCAUUUCCAUUACUUUGCUCUGGUGACUUCUGCCUCUAGUAAAGAGGCAAGAAGGCUUCAUUUUUUAAAAAUGUUUUUAAAUAAAUUUUAUGGGGGUCUCAUUGACUUAACAAAGUUGCAUUAGUUUCAGGUGUACAGCAAAGUGAAUCAGUUAUACGUAAUACCUAUAUACCUUCCAAGGAGGCUUCUUUUGAAAGCUAACCACCUGUGGAAAGCUUGAAAAACUGGCCAGUUGCACAGGGAGGUUUGGCCACCCUUUAAUAAAAGGAACCAAAUCAAGCUUUCUCUAGGGAUUCUCAUUUGGGAAGUUGGCUAGGAGGAUGGUAUCAGUACAGGCUUUCUUCUGGCCAUUAUCUUGGCCCUGCAGGGAAAAUUCUGGGCAAGGAGGACAAGCACAGAGAUCUAACAUAUUUAGAGUGCAAUUUGCCCAUGACAAAUCUAGAGGAGAAGUGCCAUGGAGGAAAGGGCUGGUUUCAGACCUCCUUCCCAGCAACACAGACUGAGACAUAAUGUCCACAGAACAACAGAAAAGGGGUAGCAGAGGCUUUGUAAAUCUGGACUUUCCCAUGCCACGUUGGGCUAUUUUAAAGCCUUUCAGAGCCCCAAGCAUCCUUACUUCAGAGGCUCCCAAUUAUAUCAAGCGCUCGAAGGCACCAACAACAUACACCUAAUAAAAUUUCAAAGUAGCCAUGUGACUUGCAUUGCUUUGCAGGUGACUGGUUGACAUUAAGUGUUACAGCUAUUUAGACAUUAAUUCUGAUUAUGCAAUUCCUUUUUACAUUUUGAAGCCAGUGGUUUGGGGUUUCCAUCGUUUCAUUGUUUGUUUUGUUGUUGUUGUUUUCCAAACCUCAAACAUUUACAGAAGCCUUAGAAAGGCUCUUCGACCCAGAUCUUUUUGCCUGAAGCACAGAAAUAGAAACAGCCCUCUGAUGCAAACAAGGCAACGGUUAUAUUAAUCCAACUUUAGAGAUGCUAGCACCUAAACUCUUUAAGACCCUGAUGACUCUGCUGGUUGCCUUCUGCAUUGUUUAUAGCCUUUUAAGUUUCAGUCGUUUGGAUCAAGGGAAAUAAACAGGCUGCCUUCCCAUGGCCUUGCCACACCAGCACGCACACAACCACUACACAUGGAAUCCUAAGCCAGAUUCAUGUGCCACAGCACACAGAUCUGUUUCCCGUGAUCGUAUCUAAUUACCAUCCCCGACCCAACCCCCCAUUUUCUAUAAAAAUGGAUUCAUAUGCUUUACUCUAAAAAAAGUUCUAAAAUGAGGUUCGUACUCAUUAGAUCAUGACUUCUCUUGGGGUGGGGGAAUUGACUUUGCGACAUAACCUUGGAGAAAAAUCACUGGCUAUUAAAUGCCUUGGUGAUUGCUCCUGUGCCCUUCCAAAAACCGAUGUUGGACUUCUCCCAUCUCCCCAGAGGUCAGCCUGGCCUCCCUCUCAAGCAGCACAAAUAUCAUGAAGAUACCUUUGGAAGUGUCUAAACAGACUCCCUAUUCAAGCAUAAUUCCAAAAAUGGGAUUUGAAUCAAAGACUGCCUUGAUUCUGGGUUAUGUGAUCCCUAAAUCAAUUCCAAUUCUUUAGAUAUAUAUCCACAGCAUUUUUUUUUCACCUGCAUCCUCUAUGUUAAUGUGUUUGCAUCAGGGGCUACACACUAACUCUGUCACAACUUUUGACAAUGUCUAUGCCACGUUCCCAUUCCGUGCAUCAAGAGAAGACCAAAAAAAUUUCCUUUGGUACCAGCCGCAGAGGUUCUAAAGUACAGAACCAGGUAUUUUUUCACAUCAGAAGGCCCCUGUUUAUAGGUGGAAACUUUAAAGAGAAACAAGGGAAGGGAUAUUCCUAUUUGAACUCUGGAAUCUUUGUUUUUUCAUUGUCAUUCGGGUCUCACCUCAGAGCACCCUUCUCUUUCUAGAAGCAGCAGCUUCUUCGGGGAGUGUUGGCCCCCAUUGGAGGUGGUUGGGAUUCCACUUGCUUAAACUUACAGGAAGGGCAUCGGAAGGCUCUCUGAGGCUCUGCGUGAGUUCUCCACUCCUCCCUUUCUUUCACCAGUAGAAAAAUGCUAUCCUUACAAGGUCAUGUUUGAGGAGCCCUCAGUUUAGCCAGUGAACCUCCACGUUACAGAGAGCUGAACAAUGCCAGGUUCUUGACUGUGCCCUCUAAGCCUCAGUCGUGAUUGGCACAGAAGCAACCAGUCUGCUGAAAAGCCGAGCCAGCACAAAUGUUUUGAAACGAAUUCCACUGAAACUCUUGUUUGUUACAUCAUACUUGCUGUAGUUCCAGUUAAUCCAACUAUUUAAUAUCAUGAGGUACUAAAUUAAAUAGCUGUACACAAAAUUUUAGAAAAGAUCAAUAUUGUAACAAAAUUACAUAUUAGCAGUAAAAAGUACCCAAGAAAAGAAAAUAUUGAUCCAUUGUGGUUUCUAUACUUGAGUUAUUCUUAGGACUCUGGAGAGACUGGCACUGCUCUGAUAAAUGAGAAGAUGGCUUUCUUUGGUCUUUGAAAAUGUUUAUCGGAGUAUAGUUGAAUUUGCAAUGUUGCGUUAGUUUCAGGUGUACAACAAAGGGACUCAGCUACCUAUAUACACGUGUCUGUUCCUUUUCAGAUUCUUUUCCUAUAUAGGUCACUACAGCGUGUUGAGCAGAUUUCCCUGUGCUGCACAGUAGGUCCCCGUUACUCCUCCAUUCCAUAUAUGGGGAAGACGUUUUGAAUUCGAGAAUACGAACUUGAACUAAGGGGAAACUGCCUGUCUCUCUCUGGGCCUCUGCUCAUCUGUUUGGGAUGCUCCCUGUUCCAUCUCAGCAGACAGGGUUGUUGGGAGGCCAAAAUGAGCAAAGGGGAGAAACUAUGCUGUACCACCCAUAUCUGUGUAUUCAUCCUGGUGAGCUGGGCUAUUGGCUUUUGUCAGUGAGCCCUUUUCUUUUGUUUAUGCCUUCCCUUCAUAGCUCUUAUUACUCAGAUUCCAUUCUGGAAUUUUGAAAAGUAAAAUAAGAAAGUUAUCAAUCAGCAUUCUGAAUGCACACCCAAUAUAUGGCGACUGGUCUACAAAGCUCAUGGUCAAGGUGCCCAUUCAUCCCCACAUCACCUCCCAAAGGUUUAGAGCACUAGCCGAGCGGAGCUCAGUGCAGGUGAAGAUUGCCAAUCCCCGAGGUUGAAGACAGCCCAUGAAGUUGACAAAUUGAGGGUCACAGGAAGCAGAGAGCCACAUCGAACUUCCUUGAUGAGCUGCCAUAUAUUAGUCUUUGUGCUAGGAAAGAAAGAGGAAGAAAAAUGAGACAAUGUGAAUUGCAUGUGAGACCAGGGCUCUCAAUUGAGUAUGAGAGGGGGAAAAAAUCCUGCACAAAAAACAAAACAAACAAACAAAAAAACCUAGUUCACUGUUUUGCAGACACUAACAAACAUGGCUAUAAAAGCACAUUUUGUAACACAAAAGCCUACGUAGAUCGUAGACAUGUUUAUAGCAUCCUUAAGUGAGUAGUUAAACCAGCAGUCUGAAUUCUCUUAGUCCCCUGAGUGGUUAAUUAAAUAUUUUCCUUAUUCAUUGCCCACAACUGUGGUUUUCCCCCUCUAUGCACCCUAGAAAAAUUCCCAAGACUAGACUUAGGAGGACACAAGCCGGUUAUGUGGUAAAAUAAGAGUGCCUUUUCUGUUGGAUGUUCAUUUUAGUGCCCUGCAUUUCCAGGGCAUACCAUGUUUAGAAACUUUUUUCUCUAAACGUAGGAAUUACUAGGCACCACGAUUUUGAAAUACCAAUUUCCAUAUCUUAAGCAGCUGUCAACUUGCCAAUUCCCUUUGGGUCUCCUUUACAUUUUCUUAUAAUGUUUCCUUGUGUUUUGGGUUGCCCUCAAAAAGAGUUUUGGGGGGGCAUGACUUUUUAAAUUGAUAGAAAUGCAACUGUACAGAUUUUUGCCCCCUUGUAUCUGUGAGCAUGAUCUCUAUCAGGCUUGAAAAAUCUGCUUUAUCAUUUUGUAUAUUUGACUAUUUUGUAUUCAACAUUACUUGAUUCCUUAUGUGCAUGGCGAUGUAUUAAAAUGUGGGAUUUCU